This 938-nucleotide ribosomal RNA is filed under the name Micrococcus sp. 5.22. RNAcentral describes it as "bacterial SSU rRNA". It matches the Rfam family "Bacterial small subunit ribosomal RNA", at positions 550 to 1483 of the family's 1533-position model. The record is from RNAcentral. Lineage: Bacteria; Bacillati; Actinomycetota; Actinomycetes; Micrococcales; Micrococcaceae.
AUUAUUGGGCGUAAAGAGCUCGUAGGCGGUUUGUCGCGUCUGUCGUGAAAGUCCGGGGCUUAACCCCGGAUCUGCGGUGGGUACGGGCAGACUACAGUGCAGUGGGGGAGACUGGAAUUCCUGGUGUAGCGGUGGAAUGCGCAGAUAUCAGGAGGAACACCGAUGGCGAAGGCAGGUCUCUGGGCUGUAACUGACGCUGAGGAGCGAAAGCAUGGGGAGCGAACAGGAUUAGAUACCCUGGUAGUCCAUGCCGUAAACGUUGGGCACUAGGUGUGGGGACCAUUCCACGGUUUCCGCGCCGCAGCUAACGCAUUAAGUGCCCCGCCUGGGGAGUACGGCCGCAAGGCUAAAACUCAAAGGAAUUGACGGGGGCCCGCACAAGCGGCGGAGCAUGCGGAUUAAUUCGAUGCAACGCGAAGAACCUUACCAAGGCUUGACAUGUUCUCGAUCGCCGUAGAGAUACGGUUUCCCCUUUGGGGCGGGUUCACAGGUGGUGCAUGGUUGUCGUCAGCUCGUGUCGUGAGAUGUUGGGUUAAGUCCCGCAACGAGCGCAACCCUCGUUCCAUGUUGCCAGCACGUAAUGGUGGGGACUCAUGGGAGACUGCCGGGGUCAACUCGGAGGAAGGUGAGGACGACGUCAAAUCAUCAUGCCCCUUAUGUCUUGGGCUUCACGCAUGCUACAAUGGCCGGUACAAUGGGUUGCGAUACUGUGAGGUGGAGCUAAUCCCAAAAAGCCGGUCUCAGUUCGGAUUGGGGUCUGCAACUCGACCCCAUGAAGUCGGAGUCGCUAGUAAUCGCAGAUCAGCAACGCUGCGGUGAAUACGUUCCCGGGCCUUGUACACACCGCCCGUCAAGUCACGAAAGUUGGUAACACCCGAAGCCGGUGGCCUAACCCUUGUGGGGGGAGCCGUCGAAGGUGGGACCAGCGAUUGGGACUA